GAUGAACGCUGGCGGCGUGCUUAACACAUGCAAGUCGAACGGGAAACCUAUUAUUGAAGCUUCGGCAGAUUUAGUUUGUUUCUAGUGGCGGACGGGUGAGUAACGCGUGGGUAACCUGCCCUAUACAGGGGGAUAACAACCAGAAAUGGUUGCUAAUACCGCAUAAGCGCACAGGAACGCAUGGUCCGGUGUGAAAAACUCCGGUGGUAUAGGAUGGACCCGCGUUGGAUUAGCUAGUUGGCAGGGUAACGGCCAACCAAGGCGACGAUCCAUAGCCGGCCUGAGAGGGUGAACGGCCACAUUGGGACUGAGACACGGCCCAGACUCCUACGGGAGGCAGCAGUGGGGAAUAUUGCACAAUGGGGGAAACCCUGAUGCAGCGACGCCGCGUGAAGGAAGAAGUAUCUCGGUAUGUAAACUUCUAUCAGCAGGGAAGAUAGUGACGGUACCUGACUAAGAAGCCCUGGCUAACUACGUGCCAGCAGCCGCAGUAA
Molecule: ribosomal RNA, 494 nt
Filed under: uncultured bacterium
Lineage: Bacteria
Description: partial 16S ribosomal RNA
Rfam family: Bacterial small subunit ribosomal RNA
Source: RNAcentral